UUUCCCAGUCACGAUAACAAGACAAACUUCUAAGGCUAGGUAAAAACAGACCGUACCGUAAACCGACACAGGUAGUCAGGUCGAGUAGACCAAGGCGAACGAGUGAGAGGUCCCCAAGGAACUCGGCAAAAAAGCGGCCGUACCUUCGGUAUAAGGCCUGCCCCUAGCAAUAGGGGCCGCAGCUAAAGUAUCCCUGGCGACUGUUUAUCAAAAACACAGCUCCCUGCGAACUCGUAAGAGGAUGUAUAGGGGGUGACACCUGACCAAUGCCAGAAGGUCAAAUACGGCCGUUCUAUUGUCGCAAGAUGAUAGGGUGAGCUGUAUAAGCCCUGGUGAAUGUCGGCCGUAACUAUAACGGUCCUAAGGUAGCGAAAUUCCUUGUCGGGUAAGUUCCGACGUGCACGAAUGGUAUAAUGACUGGAGAACUGUCUCGGGGAUUUGCUCGGUGAAAAUACAAUACCGGUGAAGAUGCCGGUUACCUGCAGUUAGACGAAAAGACCCUAGAAGCUUUACUGCAACUUGAUAUUGAGGAUAUGUCGCACAUGCGUAGCGUAGAUGGGAGGAUUUGAAGUCGUACUUUCGGGUACGAUGGAUCCGACAGUGAAAUACCAUUCUUGUUUGAUAUAUUUUCUAACCUCGGCGAAAAAAACGACGGGAGACAGUAUCUGGCGGGCAGUUUUAGUGGGGCGCUAUCCUCCUAAAAAGUAACGGAGGAGUUUAUUAAGGUCAGCUAGGCGCGAAUGGAAACCGUGCCGAUAGUGUAAUGGCACAAGCUGGCUUAACUGUGAGGCGUACUUGCCAAGCAGAUGCGAAAGCAGAACAUAGUGAACCGACGGUCCGUGUUAGAGGCGGCCGGAGAUUAUCGGAUAAAAGCUACCCUGGGGAUAACAGGCUGGUUGCACCUAAGCGUCCAUAGCGACGGUGCAGUUCGGCACCUCGAUGUCGGCUCAUCUUAGCGCGGGGGUGAAGAAGCUCCCAAGGGUUUGGCUGUUCGCCAAUUAAAGUGGUACGCGAGCUGGGUUCAGACCGUCGUGAGACAGGUUGGUCUCCUAUCUACUGCAGGCGUCGAUUCUUGAAGAGAUUUGCUCCUAGUACGAGAGGACCGGAGUGAACUGACCUCUGGUGUAUGGGCUCUAGCGCCAGCUGGACCGCCCAGUAGCUAUGUCGGGAAUGGAUAACUUCUGAAAGCAUCUAAGAAGGAAGCCAACUUCAAGAUAAGUAUUCGUUGAAGGGUCGUAAAAGAUGAUUACGUUGAUAGGAGCUAGAUGUAAGUACAGUAAUGUAUUCAGUCAAGGCUUACUAAUUACCCGAAUCCUGUCAAG
Molecule: ribosomal RNA, 1322 nt
Filed under: freshwater metagenome
Description: bacterial LSU rRNA
Rfam family: Bacterial large subunit ribosomal RNA
Source: RNAcentral